CCCCUGGCAUGGAAGCCUUAGGCUGAAAUCCUUGGUUGGGUUGGUCUAAUUCUGAAUUCUAGACAAAUGAAAAUAGGUCAAGCUCACCAACUGUCUUCUAGCACUUCUCUCAGACUUAAGGGGAAAAUGGUCUCUUAAAUAAUAAGACAGUUCUGAGAAACUAUAGUUGUUUUGGAAGUGUUUAAAACAUUUGACAUGAAGAUCUUAACCAAGUUUCCUAAGUUUUGACUGAAUUGAAACAAGAGUCAGGCAGGAAUGUGUGAUGCAGUUUUGAUCCCAGCACCUGGAAGAUGGAGCCAGGCAGAUCUCUGUGAGGUUGAGGCCAGCCUGAUCUACAUAGCUAGCUCCAGGCUGCUGAGGCUACAUAGUGAGAUCUGGACUUCAGUCUUGGCCUUAGUUUAUAUAGAAGUAUCACAGCUGACCUGAACUCAGAACUCCAAAAGACAGAGGCAUUUGCCUCUGUAGGGAAAUGAAGGAGCGGAUGCCCAUGCUUGUGUCUAAGAGAAGCAAAAGGCUCCCUGGCUCUGCCCUUCAGAAGCAUCGUGAGUGGUUGAACGUGUGAGCAUAUGGGACUCUGUAUAGGGCUUGCUACUUUUGCUGAUUUUUUUUCUUUGCAAGUGUCUUGUUUGUUCCUUCUCAUGGGUUUUGCCUCUCCCCUCACCUUGCUACCUCUGGAGGUGUUCCCCCCCCCAAAAGAUUGUAAAACUGAACGCUUAGACCGCUUGAGGUGGUUUCAGUUGCCUGAACCCUUGUUUUCCUCUGCAAAACUCUGUGGGCCCGGGAUGUUUAGAACAUUUCUGCAUCACUAUGACCCUCAGAAACCCAUUAGCACAAAAGGAUUUGGGGCAGAGACUUCACAGUCAGAGAAAAGACUUAGGCCUGGGAAUGUCCAUUCAGUGUUUGCAGGAGUGGACCUAGUCCUAAAGAAACCAGACUAUUGGGGAAAAGAUUUACCACUCAUUGAUCAGCACACCACCAAGCAUCUUUCUAAUACUUAACCUUCUCUUAUUCAACUCUCUUCCCUGGGUACAAUGUAUGCUGCCGGUGAGGAUGGGGGAAAGUUGAGGAGAAACUCUUUUCAGGGAGGUUCUCUGGGAAGUUGCUUCCAGAGUGAUCUCUAUAGGUAGAAUAGACAGUAAGUUGGAGGGAACUCAAAUUGGCCCCAGGUAGUCAGCCUCUGCUUCAAGCUAUUUGUAUUCCCCUGUUUCCCUCCAGCUUCAAUCUUUAGUGGUAGGUGGCUCUGUUAGAGUGAAUAUAGACAAAGGUUGGCAAGACGCCCCCCCCCAUCCCCACCCCAAGAUGCAAUUAAUGCUUUGUACUUGGUGGGUAUUGAUUUGUGGUUCAAAUGUGAGUGGUGGAGAGCAGGCUAGUCUUAGUACAAAGGCUGACUUUGCUUGUGGCUCCUCCCCUUUGCCUGUACUCCUGGCCUGCAUGGGCCUCCAACUUGUCCUCCAGUCCUAACACCCGUGAACUGCACUGGUACCAACAGCUCAGCCACAAAGGAGUCAAGGCCAUGGGCAGCCAAUCCAUUCCUGUUAGCUUCAUGACCCCAAGGUUAAGGUUCUGCCAACAAGCAUUCUGCCUGACAUCUACUUUAUCUAGACAACCCAGAUCCAGUUGUCUCCGUACCUUGUCACUCUGAGCAGAUCUACCCAUGCACCUGUCCACCCCCCUCCUCCUCACCUUUGAACCAGUCAG
Molecule: long non-coding RNA, 1698 nt
Filed under: Mus musculus (house mouse)
Lineage: Eukaryota; Metazoa; Chordata; Mammalia; Rodentia; Muridae
Description: long non-coding RNA chrX:102084528-102086226
Source: RNAcentral